GACAAACGCUGGCGGCGUACUUAAGACAUGCAAGUCGAACGGGUGUCCUGCUUUCGGGUGGGAUGCUAGUGGCGGAUGGGUGAGUAACGCGUAGGAACCUGUCGUUAAGUGGGGGAUACCGCUGGGAAACCGGCGCUAAUACCGCAUGUGGUCGAGCGAUCGAAGAAAGCAGCAAUGCGCUUGAUGAGGGGCCUGCGUCCGAUUAGCUAGUUGGUGGGGUAAAGGCCUACCAAGGCGCGAUCGGUAGCUGGUCUGAGAGGAUGGUCAGCACACUGGGACUGAGACACGGCCCAGACUCCUACGGGAGGCAGCAGUUAGGAAAUUUUCA
This 328-nucleotide ribosomal RNA is filed under the name uncultured bacterium. Its description in RNAcentral is "bacterial SSU rRNA". It matches the Rfam family "Bacterial small subunit ribosomal RNA", at positions 28 to 368 of the family's 1533-position model. The record is from RNAcentral.